AACGAACGCUGGCGGCAUGCCUAACACAUGCAAGUCGAACGAGACCUUCGGGUCUAGUGGCGCACGGGUGCGUAACGCGUGGGAACCUGCCCUUAGGUUCGGAAUAACUCCCCGAAAGGGGUGCUAAUACCGGAUAAUGUCUUCGGACCAAAGAUUUAUCGCCUUUGGAUGGGCCCGCGUUGGAUUAGCUAGUUGGUAGGGUAAAAGCCUCCCAAGGCGACGAUCCAUAGCUGGUCUGAGAGGAUGAUCAGCCACACUGGGACUGAGACACGGCCCAGACUCCUACGGGAGGCAGCAGUGGGGAAUAUUGGACAAUGGGCGAAAGCCUGAUCCAGCAAUGCCGCGUGAGUGAUGAAGGCCUUAGGGUUGUAAAGCUCUUUUACCCGGGAUGAUAAUGACAGUACCGAGAGAAUAAGCUCCGGCUAACUCCGUG
Molecule: ribosomal RNA, 433 nt
Filed under: uncultured bacterium
Lineage: Bacteria
Description: partial 16S ribosomal RNA
Rfam family: Bacterial small subunit ribosomal RNA
Source: RNAcentral